GUACACUCCUACGGGAGGCAGCAGUGGGGAAUUUUGGACAAUGGGCGAAAGCCUGAUCCAGCAAUGCCGCGUGAGUGAAGAAGGCCUUCGGGUUGUAAAGCUCUUUUGUCAGGGAAGAAACGGUGAAAGCUAAUAUCUUUUGCUAAUGACGGUACCUGAAGAAUAAGCACCGGCUAACUACGUGCCAGCAGCCGCGGUAAUACGUAGGGUGCAAGCGUUAAUCGGAAUCACUGGGCGUAAAGCGUGCGCAGGCGGUUUUGUAAGUCUGAUGUGAAAUCCCCGGGCUCAACCUGGGAAUUGCAUUGGAGACUGCAAGGCUAGAAUCUGGCAGAGGGGGGUAGAAUUCCACGUGUAGCAGUGAAAUGCGUAGAUAUGUGGAGGAACACCGAUGGCGAAGGCAGCCCCCUGGGUCAAGAUUGACGCUCAUGCACGAAAGCGUGGGGAGCAAACAGGAUUAGAAACCCUGGUAGUCCC
RNAcentral lists this ribosomal RNA (474 nucleotides) under uncultured organism. RNAcentral's name for it is "partial 16S ribosomal RNA". It matches the Rfam family "Bacterial small subunit ribosomal RNA", at positions 331 to 797 of the family's 1533-position model. The record is from RNAcentral.